CGUGUUGCUGGAGGUGUCGUCAGAGUAGCGUGGGAGACCAGAUCCUUAUCGCGUUUGUGGUUGGCUGUAGCAGAGCGGUGACUGCGGAUUACUUCUUGUGCCUCUCUUUCAACUUAUAACUUGUUUUGGCCAGUAAAGAGAAAAGGCGACAGGGAAUGGAGGAAGACCUUGUUAUAUACAUUGGUCAUCAUUCCACCCUAAUCCAUCUCUAGCACCCAGGCACACUCGCCCCCGCAACAAACUAACAACAUUUCAAAUUCCCCCGGGGCACCUCGGAGGACACUCCAUAGCCGCCGGUAACUUGACUGGAGACUUGAGACUGCUUUGCGCAAGGGUUUGCUGGCAGUCGCUAUGCACAUCAAAGAGAUAACAUAUUUGUUCAGCUUCACGACAGUUGGCUAUGGCAUCAGGCACUGUGUCUGGCCUACAUAGCAGGAAUAGAACAAACCCAAAAGAAGCCAAGCCCAUUCGCAUCAGCCACCAUUAUCCCGAAAUAGAGACCGAAAUCCUUCUUAUUUCUUCCGACAAGAAGUAGGAUUCCAGGUAGAGAGAGACUCAGGUGUGGCUUCGGUAACUAACGAAUCCUUCCAAAACUCUUCCGGAGAUCUUGAUGAUAAACUUUUCACUUCCUCCCGUUCAGGGAGCGGCGAACGCUUUGGAGGCUCGCAGUAAGCAUAUCCAUGUCAAGCAUCGCGAGCUGUCCAACCCUACGGCAAGGGUCAUCCGUCCGCCUGGCUAUCGAAACCGUAAAGUCAAUCAUUAUCAAAAUGAGACGAUAUAUCCGGUCCAACAUUAGCCGGUAUCAUCUCUACUCAGAGCUAAAAAAGCAUUGGCUCGAAGAUUUGUGGGCUAUGCACAUGAAAUCAUGCGCUUACUAGACGGAAAGGGCGGUCAGGUUGGUAAUAGGUCCCGAGGAUAUGCAUCUCAUCUUUGAGUUGUACCGAUGCCUAUCCAUGUUUAUAUCAACGGAACACACAAUCGUAUGGUUAGAACAACAGUAAUAAAAAGUAAUGUGAUCUGUACAGCGAAUGAACAUAGUGCUUGUGAG
Molecule: small RNA, 1048 nt
Filed under: Cryptococcus neoformans H99
Lineage: Eukaryota; Fungi; Basidiomycota; Tremellomycetes; Tremellales; Cryptococcaceae
Description: Cryptococcus neoformans var. grubii H99 hypothetical RNA
Source: RNAcentral